Molecule: ribosomal RNA, 248 nt
Filed under: uncultured bacterium
Lineage: Bacteria
Description: partial 16S ribosomal RNA
Rfam family: Bacterial small subunit ribosomal RNA
Source: RNAcentral
AUACGGAGGGUGCAAGCGUUGUUCGGAAUUAUUUGGGCGUAAAGCGCGUGUAGGCGGUUUCUUAAGUUUGAUGUGAAAGCCCCGGGCUCAACCUGGGAAGUGCAUUGGAAACUGGGAGACUUGAGUACGGGAGAGGGUAGUGGAAUUCCUAGUGUAGGAGUGAAAUCCGUAGAUAUUAGGAGGAACACCGGUGGCGAAGGCGGCUACCUGGACCGAUACUGACGCUGAGACGCGAAAGCGUGGGGAGC